UAGUCGGUGAUGAUUUGUGGUUAGCGGAGAAAUUCUAAUCGAACUCGGAUAUAGCUGGUUCUCCUCGAAAUAGCUUUAGGGCUAGCGUCUGAACAUAGAGUAUUGAAGGUAGAGCACUGAAUAGGCUAGGGGACUUCACGGUUUACUGAACCUUAUCAAACUUCGAAUGUCAAUUACUUGUUUUCAGGCAGUCAGACAGUGGGAUCUAAGUUUCAUUGUCAAAAGGGAAACAGCCCAGAUCUACAGCUAAGGUCCCUAAGUUCAUGUUAAGUGGAAAAGGAUGUAUUGUUGCUUAGACAACCAGGAUGUUGGCUUAGAAGCAGCCACUCAUUCAAAGAGUGCGUAAUAGCUCACUGGUCGAGUGACAACGCGCCGAAAAUUAUCGGGGCUAAAACAUGACACCGAAGCUUAGGAAUUGGUGUAAAUCAAUUGGUAGAGGAGCAAUGUGUGCGCGCUGAAGCGUUAGCGGAAGCGGGCGUGGAGUGCACACAAGAGAGAAUGCCGGUAUAAGUAGCGAAAGCGGAGUGAGAAUCUCCGCCAUCGAAAGUCUCAGGUUUCCUGGGGAAGGUUCGUCCCCCCAGGGUUAGUCGGGGCCUAAGUUGAGGUCGAACGACGUAGAUGAUGGACAGCAGGCAGAUAUUCCUGCACCACCACAGGACGUUAUUACUGAUGCAGUGACACAGGAGGAUAGUCAGACCUACCCGGAUGGUAAAGGGAGGCUGCAAUACGAGGCUUAAGCGUAGUGAAGUACGCGCUUAGUUAAGGCUGAGUGUUGUGGGGAACGAAUUAAAGUAGUGGAAGCUGAUGAAUUCACACUGGCGAGAAAAGCUGCUAAGGAGGAAUGUGGUGCCCGUACCGCAAACCGACACAGGUAGACGAUGAGAGAAUCAUAAGAUGAUCGGGAUAACUCUUGUUAAGGAACUCGGCAAAAUGACCCCGUAACUUCGGGAGAAGGGGUGCCACGCAAGUGGCCGCAGUGAAAAGUCCCAAGCAACUGUUUACCAAAAACACAGGUCUCUGCAAAAUCGAAAGAUGAUGUAUAGGGGCUGACGCCUGCCCAGUGCUGGAAGGUCAAGGGGAGCUGUUAGCGCAAGCGAAGCGGUGAACUUAAGCCCCAGUGAACGGCGGCCGUAACUAUAACGGUCCUAAGGUAGCGAAAUUCCUUGUCAGGUAAGUUCUGACCCGCACGAAUGGCGUAAUGAUUUGGGAACUGUCUCAACAAGAGACCCGGCGAAAUUGUAGUAUGCGUGAAGAUGCGUAUUAACCUGCGACUGGACGGAGAGACCCCGUAGAGCUUUACUGUAACUU
RNAcentral lists this ribosomal RNA (1308 nucleotides) under human gut metagenome. RNAcentral's name for it is "bacterial LSU rRNA". It matches the Rfam family "Bacterial large subunit ribosomal RNA", at positions 795 to 2112 of the family's 2925-position model. The record is from RNAcentral.